RNAcentral lists this small nuclear RNA (107 nucleotides) under Delphinapterus leucas (beluga whale). Lineage: Eukaryota; Metazoa; Chordata; Mammalia; Artiodactyla; Monodontidae. The record is from RNAcentral.
GUGCUUGCUUCGGCAGCACGUAUACUAAAAUUGGAACCAUACAGAGAAGAUUAGCAUGGCCCCUGUGCAAGGAUGAUAUGCAAAUUCGUGAAGCAUUCCAUAUUUUU